This 492-nucleotide ribosomal RNA is filed under the name uncultured bacterium. RNAcentral's name for it is "partial 16S ribosomal RNA". It matches the Rfam family "Bacterial small subunit ribosomal RNA", at positions 29 to 507 of the family's 1533-position model. The record is from RNAcentral.
AGUGAACGCUGGCGGUAGGCCUAACACAUGCAAGUCGAACGGCAGCACAGUAAGAGCUUGCUCUUACGGGUGGCGAGUGGCGGACGGGUGAGGAAUACAUCGGAAUCUACUUUUUCGUGGGGGAUAACGUAGGGAAACUUACGCUAAUACCGCGUACGACCUACGGGUGAAAGCAGGGGAUCUUCGGACCUUGCGCGAUUGAAUGAGCCGAUGUCGGAUUAGUUAGUUGGCGGGGUAAAGGCACACCAAGGCGACGAUCCGUAGCUGGUCUGAGAGGAUGAUCAGCCACACUGGAACUGAGACACGGUCCAGACUCCUACGGGAGGCAGCAGUGGGGAAUAUUGGACAAUGGGCGCAAGCCUGAUCCAGCCAUACCGCGUGGGUGAAGAAGGCCUUCGGGUUGUAAAGCCCUUUUGUUGGGAAAGAAAAGCAGCAGGUUAAUACCCCGCUGUUCUGACGGUACCCAAAGAAUAAGCACCGGCUAACUUCGUG